This 5006-nucleotide long non-coding RNA is filed under the name Homo sapiens (human). Its description in RNAcentral is "HSALNT0053808". The record is from RNAcentral. Lineage: Eukaryota; Metazoa; Chordata; Mammalia; Primates; Hominidae.
AAGGCUCAGAUGAUUUUUAAUGUUUUUAGCAAUAAAGUAUUUUUAAAUUAAGAGAAUUCAGCCUCAGCCCCCAGAUGAAGAUGGGGAUCACAGUGACAAAGAAGAUGAACAGCCUCAAGUGGUGGUUUUAAAAAAGGGAGACCUGUCAGUUGAAGAAGUCAUGAAAAUUAAAGCAGAAAUAAAGGCUGCCAAAGCAGAUGAAGAACCAACUCCAGCCGAUGGAAGAAUCAUAUAUCGAAAACCAGUCAAGCAUCCCUCAGAUGAAAAAUAUUCAGGUUUAACAGCAAGCUCAAAAAAGAAGAAGCCAAAUGAAGAUGAAGUAAAUCAGGACUCGGUCAAAAAGAACUCACAAAAACAAAUUAAAAAUAGUAGCCUCCUUUCUUUUGACAACGAAGAUGAAAAUGAGUAAGUGUAAAUAUUUUGAAUUUAGUCUACUUUGAAAGUAUAUGGAGUGUUCAUUAAAAUCACAUUUUUUCCUAUUAUAAAGAUACUACAAGUUCUUUAUAGAAAGUUUAGGAAAUAGAGAAAAAAAUUUAAUAAACUACAUCUAUUCAUCAAUACCCCUCUGACUUAAAAUGCCAACUCUAUAGAAAUUAGCUAGUAUUAACAUUUUGUUAUUUCCCUUGUGUGGUUGUAUAUAUAUGUAAAUUAUAUUUUUAAGCAAAAUACAUUUUUUGUGUGUAAACAAAAUUUUAUAAAUACAACUGUAUUGCAAAUGUUCUUUGUCCUGCUUCUCACUUGACAUUGCAUUACGAGUAUUCUUCCAGGUCAGUAAAUUUCAAAAACCUGACAUUAAUAGCUACAGAUAAUUUCAUAAACAUCUCAUUGUAUCUUUUUCAUUAGCAAUAGCUCCACUUUGGGUGGGGGAGAUGAUAAUGUGCCUUGUUAAAAAUACCUCCCCAACUCCUGCUAAGGGUGGCCAUGAGACUCAGCUCUGGCAAGUUAAGAAAUACAGGUGGAAUUCUGCUUGAUAAAGCUGCUGGGUUUUUUGUUACAAAAGGACAGACUUGGCAAACAUGAGCCUUUGCUCUUAUCUUUUCAUCCUACUUGGAGUGCAGAGAUAAAACCUGAGUACCAGAGCCACUUUUAGGCAUAAGGAAGGCAGCCAUGUGCUUUGGGUCAUGUUAGUAAAAAGACUCAGAGCUUGGCUCCUUGCUGACAUGCCUGGAGGAGCUGCUACACCAGCUUGGAUUGCUGACCUCUGACUUCUUGGUAGUGAGAAGAAUAAACACUGUGCUUAAUUAGGCCUUGGUCAGGUUUCUUUUAUAUGCAGCCAAAUGCAGUCCUAAGUAAUACAAUAAAUAACUGGUCAAACUGUUACUGGUGGAGGGUGUCCAGGUUCUUGGCAUUUUGGACAAAUAAUUGAACAAAACGCACAAAGCAAUGAAUAUCCUCUAGAGGUUUGCCAUUGGUUACUUGGCGUACACCCUGUGUAAAUGAAGUAGUGGCCCGUGACCUGUCUGAUUGGUGCAGAAAGUGACCAAUCAGAGGCUGAAGUGAAGUUACAAAGUUAUACUCCUGUGUAAAUGAGGACUUGGCCUAUGACCAGUCUGAUUGGUUGCAGGAGGGGACCAAUCAGAGGCACUUUCAUUUUUCAUCUGCAAUGCAGAAAAGGCAAGGGGAUUGCAAAGGGAGUAGCCUCUGAUCCUUUUGUUACUUAGGUAUGGAGAGGUGGGGUUUUCCUUUUGAUUCAGUUCUAGGAAGUCAAUGUGAAUCAGCCUUAGGUUCCCUGUCUCCAGACCCUAUUCUCCUGCCUCAUUUUCCCCCUGAGAGACGUGAUCCUCGUAAAUCUUUAUGGGAGGCUGAGAGACUGAGGGUCUUUCUUCUGUAACUGCUUCAUGCUAACUUGGGACACAGUCCCUACCUAUUGGAGAUCACGUAACUCUCACCCUGCUUUGUCUAGGGGAGACAGGGUAGCUUCUUGAUGGCCGGUGGUGUCUUCUCCUGAAACUGGCUAGAAAUCUUGUCACAUGAUCAUCUAACUUGGUGGUCUCUAGGCAAAAGGAAAUGGAUUUGGUUAAAAGAUUUAACAGAUAUGGUCCAAAAACCAAGGCAAAUAUAAUCAUUAAUAAUGGGCUGGCCAAGGGAGGGAGCCAUGAAACCCAACUUAGUGCCCUUUAGGUGCCCCAGCUGUUGUCAUAUUUUAGAGGCCCAGUCAGCUAGUUUUCAGGUGGUGUCCCUUACUAAUCCUGAUUGGUUGACAUCAAAACAGCAUUCUUCUUCUAGGAAAAUACAUAAGCCACCUGUUUCAGCAGUUAGGAGAUCUAGUCCCCUUCGAUUUUGCAAAGCGACCACUGCCAAGGAGCCUAUCCGAAUUUGUAAGGUGACAAUACUUUGAGCAAUGUUAUCCAGGCUUUCCAUAAAAUCCUUGGACAAGCGUUGGUAAUAGGAUAGGGAAGUUGCAAUCCCGCUAACUCCCAUUCCUACCUCUGCUGUUAUUCCUAGCCGUUGUGUCUGGUGGUUGCAGUUAAAGGUAUAAUGAGGGAUUGGUUGUUGGGAGCUAUAUUAAUUUAGGGACAUACAAUAUUUCUGUCUCCAGUCUACCACUUCCACCAAAGACAAAUCACAGCAGAACCGACCUAACUUCAAAAUAAACUGCAGUCCCAUAUACUGGGCCUGAUUACCCACACAAAGUGCAACAAGAAUCAUUGUCCAUAUAGACUCUCCUAGAUUGGCUUUGCUAGAACAUUUCACAAGGCCAUUUCAGUCAAAGUCCUGAGAAAGUAACCGGUUUCAAUUGUGCCCUAUUACAAAAGAAAACGUGGUUAUUAACUUUAUACAGACAAAUGCCAUGAAUUAAGAAUAUUCAUAAAUAGUUUACAAAUUCUGGAGAAAUUAGAAUACUCAAUACACUUAAAGUGUAUUUCAAGGCUAUAAAUAGCUCAAAAUAAAAAGAUUAUUCAGACUCUGAAAAAACAAAAAGAAGUAGCAAUAUUUCAAACAACAAAAGCCAUACAAAUUAUUUCAGUCUUCCAUUAGUUCAUUUCAGUCCAUGUAAUCAACUCCUGCUCUACUUCAUAUUCAUCUUUAUGAACACAUCAGCCUUUCAAUUAGUGCCUUGGAAGUUUUCUGUCUAAUCCAAUGGCACACUCUCCAAAGUUACCAGAAACCUGCAUUCAAGAGUUCUUUUCAUGAACUCCAAAGAAGUAAGCCUUGGACUGUAGCUGAUUAUAAGUCACUUUUUUUUUUUGAGAAGGAUCAGAGCAAAACAUCAAUUAUGGAUGACAAAAGUCUUAAGACAGCCAUAAAGACACAGUUGACAAAUGUGGCUAUUUCUGUGGCUUACAACAAUUUAACAUAAUCAUUACAACAUAUAUUAAGACAUAUCAGAAUUUUAGAACUCUCAUACAAUCCUGGAACACAUAUUAACAACAAAUCUCUAUCAGUAUAACCCAAAGGAAGCUAAACACCACCUCACACUUGACAAUGUUUCCUGUAUAAUUCAAACAUUACAAAUAAGCCUAAUAUAAGCCUAAUAUGUCACUCUUGAACUUCAGGAAGCCUAAUAUCCAAAAAGUUAGUUUAAGGUCAAAAGUUUUUGAAUUAACUUUUUUCCAUUAGUAUGGUCAUAUCUUUCUUACUAAUUUGUAAGUUAUGUAAUUUAUCAAUUUUUUUUUGUUGUUCUGUUUCCCAACCUCUAUGUCAGAUAAAGAAUCACCCAGGCCAGACACAAUGGCUCAUGCUUGUAAUCCCAACACUUUGGGAAGCCAAGGUGGGAGAAUUGCUUGAAGCCAGGAAUCUGAGCCCAGCCUGGGCGACAAAGCAAUACCCCUAUCUCUACAAAAAAUAAAAAAUAGCCAGGUGUAGCGACACACACCUGUAGUCCCAGCUGCUCAGGAGGCUAAGCAGGAGGAUGGCUUGGGCCCAGGAGUUCAACGCUGCAGUGAGCUAUGAUUGCACCACUGCACUCCAGCCUGGGCAACAGAGUAAGAACUGUCUCAAAAAAAAUAAAAAAUAGAAAUAAAUUUUAAAAAAAGAAUUACCCAUAUUCUCUUUGUUUUUGUUUAUUCACAUUAACCUUUAUUCUAUCUGGAAUUUAUUAGAGUAUACUUUUUUCUCAAAUAAUCAAUUGUCCUAGAACCAUGUGUUUCUCAUUUAUUUGAAAGGCCAUCUAGUGAGAGAUUUCUCCAAAUGUUGGGGUAGGGAAGGGAGGGGAAGCACUUUAAAGUCUGAGCCUUUAGAGGUGAUUCCUCAAGACCCUGCUUAAUCCUAACAAUUUUCCUCAUUAGUAAAAGUCAGCCCAAACUGGGGGCUUGUUAAGAUCCUUACCAGCCACAUCCAUCUGAAAUUAUGAAUUUCAAAGUAUCUUACAAAUUUGGUGCCACAUUAUCUUUUUUAAGUUUGUUUUGUUUUGUUUUUUUGAGACAGAGUCUCGCUCUGUCACCCAGGCUGGAGUGCAGUGGCGCGAUCUCAGCUCACUGCAAGCUCCGCCUCCUGGGUUCACACCAUUCUCUUGCCUCAGCCUCCCAAGUAUCUGGGACUACAGUCGCCCGCCACCACGCCCGGCUAAUUUUUUUGUAUUUUUAAUAGAGACGGGGUUUCACUUUGUUAGCCAGGAUGGUCUCAAUCUCCUGACCUCAUGAUCCACCUGCCUCGGCCUCCCAAAGUGCUGGGAUUACAGGCAGGAGCCACCGCGCCUGGGCCUUUUUUUAAGUUUUAAGUACCUAUAAAGAACACUGAAAGGUGAUGUGUGUGGAUGAGCUAGGAAGACCUGAAAUAGGCUCUCUCUAAAUUAAUCAAAUUAAUCCUGAAGCCAUUCUGCAAUACUGUCUUUAAUGUAUACUCACUUGUUAUAGAAGCCAGGGUUUUUUCCCCUAAUUUGUAUCAUUGCUAUAUGUGUUAUUGUACCAAACUACACUGUUUUAAUUGCUGUAAAUUUUAAUAUGUCUUAGUAUCUGGGUGUGGGAAUCUUGAAAGCAUGGAGUUUGUGUUAUUCACCACUGUAUUCUCAAAUAUCAGAAGAGUAUCUGGCCUACUAAGUGCACAAUAAACAUAGUUAAAAUGAA